CUAUUCUUAAUGAUACAUUAAGGAGAAGGCAAAGGGAGAGGAGAAACCGGAGGAAGAACUUAUGGGGAAACGUAAGUCUUCUCCGCGG
Molecule: regulatory RNA element, 88 nt
Organism: Colletotrichum gloeosporioides Cg-14
Lineage: Eukaryota; Fungi; Ascomycota; Sordariomycetes; Glomerellales; Glomerellaceae
Rfam family: ylbH leader
About the family: This family is a putative regulatory RNA structure that is found upstream of the ylbH gene in B. subtilis and related low GC Gram-positive bacteria.
Source: Rfam